Small nucleolar RNA from Oryctolagus cuniculus (rabbit), 125 nucleotides. NCBI's taxonomy places the organism in Eukaryota, Metazoa, Chordata, Mammalia, Lagomorpha, Leporidae. The record is from Ensembl.
GGCCUCCUCGUGCUUACCACAGGCUGUGUUCUUAACACUGUAUGUAGAAAGAGGAAGCAGAGUAGACCUUCCCCAUAUACACCUCAGCUCAGCUCUCAUUCCUGCUUGUGAAUGGGGGGACAUGG